AUGCCCUGGUUCUGCGCGACCCCGCCAGAGACUCACCUCGCCACCUUGGCGCCUCCCGAAGGAUCUCCGCCACCGCCUAGCGCUUCUGUGCGCAAGGAUGCCGACGCCUCUCCCUGGCCCUCCUGGCGGACAGCCUCCAGCCCACACAAGCUUCCCUGUUUUGGCUCUGUUGGCUACCAUGAUUCAAUGAUGACAACACGCACACCUUUCCCUGAUGCUUGGGCAAAGGCAUGUAUGUCCGAUGUGCAGGCAAAACUUUAUAGAUGCAGAUUACAUACAUUAGAAAUUGCCAACUCGGUGGAUGAUAAAUACUAUGACUUGGGACUCAGAAAAAAGAUCAACACGUAG
Molecule: ribosomal RNA, 348 nt
Filed under: Triticum aestivum (bread wheat)
Lineage: Eukaryota; Viridiplantae; Streptophyta; Magnoliopsida; Poales; Poaceae
Description: partial small subunit ribosomal RNA
Source: RNAcentral